This 376-nucleotide ribosomal RNA is filed under the name Staphylococcus aureus. Its description in RNAcentral is "bacterial SSU rRNA". It matches the Rfam family "Bacterial small subunit ribosomal RNA", at positions 441 to 809 of the family's 1533-position model. Lineage: Bacteria; Bacillati; Bacillota; Bacilli; Caryophanales; Staphylococcaceae. The record is from RNAcentral.
AGGGAAGAACAUAUGUGUAAGUAACUGUGCACAUCUUGACGGUACCUAAUCAGAAAGCCACGGCUAACUACGUGCCAGCAGCCGCGGUAAUACGUAGGUGGCAAGCGUUAUCCGGAAUUAUUGGGCGUAAAGCGCGCGUAGGCGGUUUUUUAAGUCUGAUGUGAAAGCCCACGGCUCAACCGUGGAGGGUCAUUGGAAACUGGAAAACUUGAGUGCAGAAGAGGAAAGUGGAAUUCCAUGUGUAGCGGUGAAAUGCGCAGAGAUAUGGAGGAACACCAGUGGCGAAGGCGACUUUCUGGUCUGUAACUGACGCUGAUGUGCGAAAGCGUGGGGAUCAAACAGGAUUAGAUACCCUGGUAGUCCACGCCGUAAACGA